UACGUAGGGUGCGAGCGUUGUCCGGAAUUAUUGGGCGUAAAGAGCUCGUAGGCGGUCUGUCGCGUCGAUCGUGAAAACUUGGGGCUUAACCCUGAGCUUGCGGUCGAUACGGGCAUGACUGGAGUUCGGCAGGGGAGACUGGAAUUCCUGGUGUAGCGGUGAAAUGCGCAGAUAUCAGGAGGAACACCGGUGGCGAAGGCGAGUCUCUGGGCCGAUACUGACGCUGAGGAGCGAAAGCGUGGGGAGCGAACAGG
RNAcentral lists this ribosomal RNA (254 nucleotides) under uncultured bacterium. Its description in RNAcentral is "partial 16S ribosomal RNA". It matches the Rfam family "Bacterial small subunit ribosomal RNA", at positions 524 to 776 of the family's 1533-position model. The record is from RNAcentral.